AAGAGUCUGCCUAAGGGGUGGGGACAGCGAGGCCUGUGAUUGUAGUUGGCAAAGGUAAGUGAUGUCAGACAGCAGACGUUUCUCCAGCCCUGCAGCAGUUUCCAGGCGUGGAGGGAGGCCUGGCGCCAACUUCUCAAGUCACGUUCUUCAAUGAACAGUUGUGGUUUGAACUGUGGAGAGUGGGGCCUGCAGGGGAGAGAGAAAUGCACCAGCCAAAGGCUGCAGCCCGACCCUCCUGAUCUCAUCGCUCAGCCCUGCUGGGGAGGAGUCUGGGGCUGCAGCUCUGGGCGACUUCAGAGUGGACUGAGAGAGGAGAGGGCUGUGUUUCUGACUGCAGCAGGCGGCCUGCUUCCUCUCUGCCAUGAGGCCGGGAAGAGGAGAUACAAAGACAAGGGGAAUCUGUCCCCAGGUUCCCUGGAGUCCUGUCAGGACAGACAAGAGGAUCUCAACUUGGCAUCCACAGGGUGGUCUGGGGAAUAUCCCUGAAGUUCCAAAGUCAUGUGGAUGUGGAUGUACAUACAUUUUCCUGGGGAGAGGGUCCUGGCUGUCAUUAGAACCUCAAAUAUGCAUGCUGUAAGCGUAAGUACCACUGGACUCGAAUAACCGUCCCUCCGGGAGAAGUCUUUGGUCUUGCAGUUGGUCCUGGGGAUUGCUGAGUGCAGACAAAAUGAAAACUUCUCUGGGUCUAGGGAGAUUUAUUCUUGAGGACAUUCCUCGCACCGGAGUUAGAUUCCGUGGACAAAGGGGUAUUACUCUUUCAUCAGUGUUCUCUCAUGCCAAUUUUAGAAAGCCCAUUUGGGCUGGGCACAAUGGCUCAUGCCUGUAAUCUCAGCACUUUGGGAGGCAGAGGUGGGCUUAUCACCUAAGGUCAGGAGUUCAAGACCAGCCUGGCCAACAUGGUGAAACCCUGUCUCUACUGAAAAUACAAAAUUACCCAGGCGUGGUGGCACGUGUCUGUAAUUUCAGCUACUUGGGAGGCUGAGGCAGGAGCAUCAGUUGAACCCAGGAGGCAGAGGUUGCAGUGAGCUGAGUUUGCGCCAUUGCACUGCAGCCUGGUAAACAAAAGCAAAACUCCAUCUCAAAAAAAAAAAAAAAAGAAGAAAAAAGCCCAUUUGAAGGCUGAGAUAUCAUCUACUUUGAACCCCUAGGACUCCUAAGUGUAUACUUCUUAGCCAGUUUCAGCUCUAGCGACAGGCAGGAAUUUCAAGUGAGGAAUAUGAUGAAGGCAAACUGUAACAUUGCCACUUUAGGUCUUUCUGCCUCUGUCAUCAACAUUUACAGAUGGGGGCCUUAACUAGGCAUUUUCUGAUGCUUGUAAAAUUAAUUACUAGCAUUAUAGCCAUAUAUAUUUGAAACAAAUAUCAUGCUGUCUGCAUACUGAGAAAAGCAUUAAAUACAAAGUAGACCCAGCUACCACAAAAGUCGCUGAACACAUCUGAUGGGUCAGUUGUGUCCUGAUAGAUCCCAGGGUGAUUUACCUGUGAUCCACGGAUGGCUAAUAAGAUGACCUGGUUUCCCUUACCACUGUGCAUACACACAUCCUGAGACGGACCAUGAAGUUUAAGAAGAUUUUCAGGGCAGAGACUAUUCUUUGCUGAAAAUAUGUAAGCACACCCACUGGAGAAAGGUAAAAAGGCAGGGAAAUUAGACUCUCUUCAGCUCUGACUCGGAACAGGUUAAGGCAAAAACUAGGAAUAUGGUGGAUACAUGUUGACUUAUUAUAUAGCAGUUACCCAAAGGGGGCUGAUAUAUAAUAGAUGAGUGAAUACUCAAUGCUGAUCCAAGGAAUUCACAGCACUGGAAUUGCUAGGAGGGAUGCUUGCGAACAGAAACAAUCAGCCCUCUACCCUGACGCCCCACAAUCUGGAUUCAGUAACAUGGUGUAUAUGGGGUUGCAGCGGGUAUGUUAGGGGGUGAGGCCCAGUUACUUUUUUUUUUUUAAAGCACCUCUAGUGAUUGUGAUACCCAAAGAAGUUUGAGAACUAAUGUGCUAAAUCACUGAAUGCUCUCAAACACAGGUGCUAUUUCUGAAGAACAUUCAUUUAAUAGAUUUACUCAGAUUCUGGGUCUUAUUUUUACCUUUGAGGGAACCAAAAGAAGAUACGGUUUUAAAUAAAACAUAAUUCCAUUAACAACACUUGAACUAUUACUUGCUUCUUAAACUUCAGAAGCUGAUCAAGGUAACUCUGGAAUAACUAUUCUAUACAACACCUCUGGAAAUGAUUAGAAAUCUUGCUUUCUGGUGUUGCAGAUCACAAUCAUUGGUGUAAUAUACACUUAUGAAUGUGAAUUUCCAAAGACAAGAACCUGAGGUACUUACAUUAAAAUCUGAAAUUAAUCAGGAUCCUUUGCCACUACUACCCUUACUAUCCUAUCCAGAAAGUAACAGGUGUUCAGUUAUUUUCAAUACAAUUGCUGUGUCUGAUUACACCAUGUUCUUAAAAGAUUUCCUAACACAAGACUUACCUACCUUUCGCUGAUUCAUCAAUGAUUUCAAAGGUUGAACUACAAUUUUUACUAACUUUUAUGAGGCUUACCACUACCUCCUUUGCCACACCAGCAUAUUUUGCCAAAUGCCCCCAACAUAGCCACCAGGCAAGAAACCUUCAGGGUGAUUAUGUGUGUGCUUUUUUUUUUUUUAAUAGUAUCAUUCAUUUGUACAGAGAAAUCAUUUGGAUGGAUCUAUU
RNAcentral lists this long non-coding RNA (2687 nucleotides) under Homo sapiens (human). RNAcentral describes it as "HSALNT0158174". The record is from RNAcentral. Lineage: Eukaryota; Metazoa; Chordata; Mammalia; Primates; Hominidae.